GGGUUGUGAGGUUAAGCGACUAAGCGUACACGGUGGAUGCCCUGGCAGUCAGAGGCGAUGAAGGACGUGCUAAUCUGCGAUAAGCGCCGGUAAGGUGAUAUGAACCGUUAUAACCGGCGAUUUCCGAAUGGGGAAACCCAGUGUGACUCGUCACACUAUCAUUAACUGAAUCCAUAGGUUAAUGAGGCGAACCGGGGGAACUGAAACAUCUAAGUACCCCGAGGAAAAGAAAUCAACCGAGAUUCCCCCAGUAGCGGCGAGCGAACGGGGAGGAGCCCAGAGCCUGAAUCAGCAUGUGUGUUAGUGGAAGCGUCUGGAAAGGCGCGCGAUACAGGGUGACAGCCCCGUACACAAAAGCGCAUGUGCUGUGAGCUCGAUGAGUAGGGCGGGACACGUGGUAUCCUGUCUGAAUAUGGGGGGACCAUCCUCCAAGGCUAAAUACUCCUGACUGACCGAUAGUGAACCAGUACCGUGAGGGAAAGGCGAAAAGAACCCCGGCGAGGGGAGUGAAAAAGAACCUGAAACCGUGUAGCUGAAUCAGCAUGUGUGUUAGUGGAAGCGUCUGGAAAGGCGCGCGAUACAGGGUGACAGCCCCGUACACAAAAGCGCAUGUGCUGUGAGCUCGAUGAGUAGGGCGGGACACGUGGUAUCCUGUCUGAAUAUGGGGGGACCAUCCUCCAAGGCUAAAUACUCCUGACUGACCGAUAGUGAACCAGUACCGUGAGGGAAAGGCGAAAAGAACCCCGGCGAGGGGAGUGAAAAAGAACCUGAAACCGUGUACGUACAAGCAGUGGGAGCACAGGUUUACCUGUGUGACUGCGUACCUUUUGUAUAAUGGGUCAGCGACUUAUAUUCUGUAGCAAGGUUAACCGAAUAGGGGAGCCGGAGGGAAACCGAGUCUUAAUUGGGCGUUAAGUUGCAGGGUAUAGACCCGAAACCCGGUGAUCUAGCCAUGGGCAGGUUGAAGGUUGGGUAACACUAACUGGAGGACCGAACCGACUAAUGUUGAAAAAUUAGCGGAUGACCUGUGGCUGGGGGUGAAAGGCCAAUCAAACCGGGAGAUAGCUGGUUCUCCCCGAAAGCUAUUUAGGUAGCGCCUCGUGAACUCAUCUCCGGGGGUAGAGCACUGUUUCGGCUAGGGGGCCAUCCCGGCUUACAACCCGAUGCAAACUGCGAAUACCGGAGAAUGUUAUCACGGGAGACACACGGCGGGUGCUAACGUCCGUCGUGAAGAGGGAAACAACCCAGACCGCCAGCUAAGGUCCCAAAGUCAUGGUUAAGUGGGAAACGAUGUGGGAAGGCCCAGACAGCCAGGAUGUUGGCUUAGAAGCAGCCAUCAUUUAAAGAAAGCGUAAUAGCUCACUGGUCGAGUCGGCCUGCGCGGAAGAUGUAACGGGGCUAAACCAUGCACCGAAGCUGCGGCAGCGAACGUAUCACUUAAAGCGAUUCAGCGGGUUACGAUUGACGGAGCGAAGCGACGUCAAAGCGUAUACAAGGUCGAGUCGGUUUAAGGAUACGUUCGUUGGGUAGGGGAGCGUUCUGUAAGCCUGCGAAGGUGGCCUGUGAGGGUUGCUGGAGGUAUCAGAAGUGCGAAUGCUGACAUAAGUAACGAUAAAGCGGGUGAAAAGCCCGCUCGCCGGAAGACCAAGGGUUCCUGUCCAACGUUAAUCGGGGCAGGGUGAGUCGACCCCUAAGGCGAGGCCGAAAGGCGUAGUCGAUGGGAAACGGGUUAAUAUUCCCGUACUUGGUGUUACUGCGAAGGGGGGACGGAGAAGGCUAUGUUGGCCGGGCGACGGUUGUCCCGGUUUAAGCGUGUAGGUGUGUGUUCCAGGUAAAUCCGGUUCACUUUAACACUGAGGCGUGAUGACGAGGCACUACGGUGCUGAAGCAACAAAUGCCCUGCUUCCAGGAAAAGCCUCUAAGCAUCAGGUAACAUCAAAUCGUACCCCAAACCGACACAGGUGGUCAGGUAGAGAAUACCAAGGCGCUUGAGAGAACUCGGGUGAAGGAACUAGGCAAAAUGGUGCCGUAACUUCGGGAGAAGGCACGCUGACACGUAGGUGAAGUGAUUUACUCAUGGAGCUGAAGUCAGUCGAAGAUACCAGCUGGCUGCAACUGUUUAUUAAAAACACAGCACUGUGCAAACACGAAAGUGGACGUAUACGGUGUGACGCCUGCCCGGUGCCGGAAGGUUAAUUGAUGGGGUCAGCGCAAGCGAAGCUCCUGAUCGAAGCCCCGGUAAACGGCGGCCGUAACUAUAACGGUCCUAAGGUAGCGAAAUUCCUUGUCGGGUAAGUUCCGACCUGCACGAAUGGCGUAAUGAUGGCCAGGCUGUCUCCACCCGAGACUCAGUGAAAUUGAACUCGCUGUGAAGAUGCAGUGUACCCGCGGCAAGACGGAAAGACCCCGUGAACCUUUACUAUAGCUUGACACUGAACAUUGAGCCUUGAUGUGUAGGAUAGGUGGGAGGCUUUGAAGUGUGGACGCCAGUCUGCAUGGAGCCGACCUUGAAAUACCACCCUUUAAUGUUUGAUGUUCUAACGUGGACCCGUUACCCGGGUUGCGGACAGUGUCUGGUGGGUAGUUUGACUGGGGCGGUCUCCUCCUAAAGAGUAACGGAGGAGCACGAAGGUUGGCUAAUCCUGGUCGGACAUCAGGAGGUUAGUGCAAUGGCAUAAGCCAGCUUGACUGCGAGCGUGACGGCGCGAGCAGGUGCGAAAGCAGGUCAUAGUGAUCCGGUGGUUCUGAAUGGAAGGGCCAUCGCUCAACGGAUAAAAGGUACUCCGGGGAUAACAGGCUGAUACCGCCCAAGAGUUCAUAUCGACGGCGGUGUUUGGCACCUCGAUGUCGGCUCAUCACAUCCUGGGGCUGAAGUAGGUCCCAAGGGUAUGGCUGUUCGCCAUUUAAAGUGGUACGCGAGCUGGGUUUAGAACGUCGUGAGACAGUUCGGUCCCUAUCUGCCGUGGGCGCUGGAGAACUGAGGGGGGCUGCUCCUAGUACGAGAGGACCGGAGUGGACGCAUCACUGGUGUUCGGGUUGUCAUGCCAAUGGCACUGCCCGGUAGCUAAAUGCGGAAGAGAUAAGUGCUGAAAGCAUCUAAGCACGAAACUUGCCCCGAGAUGAGUUCUCCCUGAGACUUAGAGUCUCCUGAAGGAACGUUGAAGACGACGACGUUGAUAGGCCGGGUGUGUAAGCGCAGCGAUGCGUUGAGCUAACCGGUACUAAUGAACCGUGAGGCUUAACCUUACAACGCCGAAG
This 3258-nucleotide ribosomal RNA is filed under the name Salmonella enterica subsp. enterica serovar Kentucky. RNAcentral describes it as "23S ribosomal RNA". It matches the Rfam family "Bacterial large subunit ribosomal RNA". The record is from RNAcentral. Lineage: Bacteria; Pseudomonadati; Pseudomonadota; Gammaproteobacteria; Enterobacterales; Enterobacteriaceae.